This 482-nucleotide ribosomal RNA is filed under the name uncultured bacterium. RNAcentral's name for it is "partial 16S ribosomal RNA". It matches the Rfam family "Bacterial small subunit ribosomal RNA", at positions 30 to 507 of the family's 1533-position model. The record is from RNAcentral.
UGAACGCUGGCGGCAGGCCUAACACAUGCAAGUCGAGCGGAUGAAGGGAGCUUGCUCCUGGAUUCAGCGGCGGACGGGUGAGUAAUGCCUAGGAAUCUGCCUGGUAGUGGGGGAUAACGUCCGGAAACGGGCGCUAAUACCGCAUACGUCCUGAGGGAGAAAGUGGGGGAUCUUCGGACCUCACGCUAUCAGAUGAGCCUAGGUCGGAUUAGCUAGUUGGUGGGGUAAAGGCCUACCAAGGCGACGAUCCGUAACUGGUCUGAGAGGAUGAUCAGUCACACUGGAACUGAGACACGGUCCAGACUCCUGCGGGAGGCAGCAGUGGGGAAUAUUGGACAAUGGGCGAAAGCCUGAUCCAGCCAUGCCGCGUGUGUGAAGAAGGUCUUCGGAUUGUAAAGCACUUUAAGUUGGGAGGAAGGGCAGUAAGUUAAUACCUUGCUGUUUUGACGUUACCAACAGAAUAAGCACCGGCUAACUUCGUG